AUGUCUUUGUCCACUUUCCCGGUGAUCUGCUCAACUCCGAUCUGGCGAUUGAUUUCGGGAGCUGAAAAAAUGGAUCAGGGGAGGCAGGUGUUCACAGUGGAUCUUCUAGAGAGAUAUUGAUCUUUCUGGGGGUCGACCUGGGGAGCCAUCUAUUCACUGAGUGUUUGUUGAUCCUGGUGGGAGCCACUGUAUUGCUACUGUGGUUGGUAGUGGAGGAGCUGAGACUUAUUAUACUCAUGCAAAGUGGAGCAAACCUCGUGUUCUAAGCAAAUUGAAAGGUCUUGUUAUUAAUGCUGUUGCUUGGAAUAGACAACAGAUCGCUGAAGCUUCCACGAAAGAAGUUAUUCUGGGCACAUACCGCGGUCAACUUCAUGAGAUUGCAGUUGAUGAGAAGGAUAAGGGGGAGAAGUAUACAAAGUUUCUGUUUCAAUUAACCGAACUUCCAGAAGCUUUCAUGGGCUUGCAGUUGCCUCUUGGAUGAAAUUGUACAACUCCAACUAAAAAGUUGUAGUUAUUAUGUGUGCGGAUGGAAACAGCCAACUUAAGCAACGGAGCAAGAUAUUAUGUGAUGGCUGUUACUCCUACACGACUUUAUUCAUUUACUGGAAUUGGAAUACUAGAGGUAUGUUUAUUGCCAAUACCUGUUCCAUAUACUGAAUCUUUGAACUGCAAUGAGCCUAUUGAAACCAUUAAUUAUGUAUGUUUCUCUUGAGAAAUUUCUGACAUUUGUUGAUUGGAAAUUUCCUGCCAUUUGAUAAACUCUCAGUGAACUACAUUUCUUUAUCAAGCAAAGAAGAGCUGUGCAUUUUGCAUGGCUUUCUGGAUCAGGUAUCUAUCAUGGUGGCCCAAAUUUUGGAGCGCAGCAUAGGUUUCACCUUUUCUUUUCUUCACUAUUUGUUCAUAUAUGCAGUUUAUUAGUCUCAGUGUUUUGUCAAGAUGUAGUUCUUUUAUAAAAUCUUUUAUUACUGUUGUUUAUGGGAAACUUCUUUGGUAGUUAUCCAAAUGCAGAUGACACUUUUGAGGAGAACAAGGCUCUCCUGGACUAUGCAAAACUAAGAGAAGGUGCUGAUGCAGUGAAGCCAUCUUCUAUGGCAGUUUCUGAAUUUCAUUUCUUGCUUCUUAUUGGAAACAAGGUUAAGGUUGUGAACAGAACUAGUAGCAAAUUAUACAGGAACUUCAGUUCGAUCAUACAUCUGAAUCAGUUUCAAGGGAUAUUAUUGGAUUAUGUAGUGAUGCCACUGCUGGCUUGUUCUAUGCAUAUGACCAAAAUUCUAUAUUUCAGGUGUCUGUUAAUGACAAAGGCCGGGACAUGUGGAAGGUGUAUCUAGACAUGAAGGAAUAUGCUGCAGCUUUAGCAAAUUGUCGUGAGCCACUACAAAGAGACCACAUAUAUCUGUUGCAGGUGAUUUCAAAAGAACCUAGUGGCAAGGAAAUUAAAGGCUGUUUUAUUUAUAAAAAUUGGCUAAGUUCUAGUUUCUAAUAAAUAGUUUCAAAAGUAUGCCACCUUAAAGUUCAGAUGCAUCUAUUAGAAGAAGCUUUACAGAACUUUUCUUGCAUCUGGAAUUGUAUAACUAGAGUGGUUUCUGAUGCAGGCAGAAGCUGCAUUUGCCUCCAGGGAUUUUUUUAGAGCAGCAUCUUUAUAUGCAACAGUAAUUCCUUGUUUCUUAAUUUUAGUUCUUAACAUCUUUCUUUCAUUAUGUCAAUGUAUUCAUUUAUUUGUGUAUGUUGUCAUUAUUGAAUUUCUCUUCUUGUAACUUAAUGUUAAUGAAUUAUCUCUGAAUGCACAGUUGACUUUGUGUAUACAUGCCUAAACUCAAUCCUCUCCUUUCCCUCGCUUUUGCUGUUUUGCACGUUGACAUCCUCAAUUUGGUCUCUUGGGACAAUCAAAGAUGAUAUAAGUCAUAAGUAUUGUGCAUAAAAAAAUAGUCUACUUAACAGUUCAUUAUUGAAGCAUGAAGGCAAGAAGCUUUGUUUAAAAGAACUGCUGCUGCUAUUCUUUAUUAUAAGUACAACUGUCAGGUUUCAAAUGAUAUUGUAAAUGUAGUAAUGACAAAGUAUAAAUGUUUUUGCCGGGUAGCUGGGAGGGGGCAUUGAAGUAUUAGCUCCAAUUGAGAUUUUGAAGUGGUUAACCUUUUCUCCCCCUUUUUUGCAAGACAAACUUUAGUUGAUGGGAGCUGUUCUGCAGGUUAAUUAUAUAGUAUCAUUUGAGGAAAUCACUCUGAAGUUUAUUAAUGCAUGUGAACAGGUAAUUGCAGCAUCAUUCACGUUUUCAGUAUAAUUUGUAUGUUAUUGCAAAUGUAUAAAGUGUGUAUGUUUCUUCCAUAUUCUAUAAUAUUUUUACAGUCUAAAUAUUACAUAAAGCUAAAUUAGAGCUUGAUAAGGAUGUUGAUAUCAUGAAUUGUUUAAUGAUCCUCUAGUUUUUCCAAAUUGGUAUCAUGGUGAUCAUUUUUGCAAAUUGUGAGCAAAAUUUCAUGUUUAUUUUUGGAUUCUAACUAUUGUUAGCUAUAGAACACUCUUUACUUACACAUAUUAGCACUUGACAAAAAGGUUGAUGCGUAUUAAACUUAUGAUCUUAAUUCUCAUUAUAAAACUCAUUAUAAAAUUAAUGAACAUAGUCUCUGGGACUGCUAAAGAAGGAGGAUUGAAUCAUGCAUAGAUGUUUUUUAACUGAAAUGCUUUUGUUUGGAAUUUGCAUAUGCUCGUGUGCUAUUUGUUGCUCAAUUUGCUUACUUGCAGGAUGCUUUGAGAACUUUCUUAUUGCGGAAACUAGACAAUCUUGCAAAGGAUGAUAAAUGCCAGAUAACAAUGAUUUCCACGUGGGCAACUGAAUUAUACUUGGACAAGGUUUUAUUUCUUUCCAUGCAUUACUUUUGAUGAGUAAUCUGGUUACCAGUUUGAUUUGUUCCGCUCUCUGUAUGCUGAAUGGCAUUGUAAACGUGGAAGAUGUUCCUGGCACAAGAAUAAAAAUUGAUUAGGUUUGAUUUGUUGGAUCCUACAGCACCAGGACAUUGAGCCAAUUUUUUCUUCAACUUUUCAAUUUCCAUUUGCAUGUCUACAUCAAUGAAAACUUCAAAAGAAAUUAAUUGCUGAAAUUACAUCAGAAUACAUGAGAUUGCAAAGGUGCACCUUUUCUUCUUUUUAUAUUUUUUUGGGCAUAGCUUUUUAUGUUGAAAUUUUAUGCAAUUAGACAUUAUGCUUCUUGGAUGGAAACCAUGGCAUUUACUGUAAACUUCUUUUCUUUCUGUUUUCCACAUUAAAAGCCUGUGCAUACCAAGCAAUAUGAGAUGAUUUUUUCUAGAAUGUUAAACAAAAAUUAGUAUAAAAGCAUCAAGAAACUCAGGUAAACAAUCUUACACAUUUUGGGACAUUCCUUAAUUACUUGCUUCAUUUAUUGUACUCUCUGUUGUAUAUUUUACAAAACAUUAGAAACUUCAGUUGCUGCGUAAACUGUAUCGCAUGAGGGUGUGAAUUAUUCUGAUUCUGAAGGCAUUUUCUAAUUGGUUCAAGAAACUAAGCCACUGUAAUUGAUAUCUUGUAGUGAAUUUAACAUUAUAUUUUAUAUAUGUGUGUGUAUAUAUAUAUA
RNAcentral lists this unclassified non-coding RNA (3583 nucleotides) under Hevea brasiliensis (rubber tree). The record is from RNAcentral. Lineage: Eukaryota; Viridiplantae; Streptophyta; Magnoliopsida; Malpighiales; Euphorbiaceae.